This is a long non-coding RNA of Aquila chrysaetos chrysaetos, 1254 nucleotides long. RefSeq lists it as uncharacterized. The record is from RefSeq and is a predicted model, not a curated record. NCBI's taxonomy places the organism in Eukaryota, Metazoa, Chordata, Aves, Accipitriformes, Accipitridae. The transcript is spliced from 2 exons.
UCAGCGGCGGGAGCGGGAGGCGGCGCGCCAGGCCGGCGGGGGCCGGGUGCGGUGACCUGCCGCCAGGUCUGUGGCAGCGGGUCGGGGGGGGGGGGGGUGUCUAGGCGGGGAUGAGGCAGGCGGCUCCCUCCCACGGCCCCGCGGCUGGAAGCGCUCGCUGAGCUGCCCCGCGGGUUCCCCUCUCGCCGGCGCAGAUGAGGGGCUGCUGCCGGGGCUGAAGCCCACGGGCACGGCCCGGUGUGGGCACGGCCCGGUGUGGGCACGGCCCCGUCCCCGCAGGCGUCCCUCAGCCUCGCUCCUCUGCGGGUCAGCCGCAGACACCGAUUUCUCCGAAUGCCUUCCUACCUCAGGAGCCUAAAUAUUACGCCCGCGUUCUGUACAGGGAUACCUGGCGCGUCACGCGGUUUAUCUCGAAAGUUUUGCCUUGCCAGUUCUAAAUCCUCAGCCUUACUUGUCCGACGCCGAGUGCUCGGGACGGAGGAGCACGUCCUGCCUACCGGUGCCCGCGGCAGGUGGCUGGUUUCGGCUACAGGAGUAACAGCGCCGAGCCCUCGCGUCCGUGGUUUUCAUGCACCAAGGCAGGUAACAACAUUUCGUCUUCGAGGAUGAUGAUGGGGAGCCGUACAGAGUUCUGGAAGUGCGUUUGAAAUGCUAUCUCCUCCUCCCCUUUAAAAAAAAACCCAAACCAUACUUUCUAGGAAAAAAAUUAACAAUAUACUUUUUCAAUGUCAGAUCAGAUGGCUCAGCAGAACUGACUUUCCCUCUUCUGUCAGAAAAAUGCGUAAAGUAAGAGCAUAGCGUGUAGUUGCUCCGGCACAAAACCAGCCAUUUAAUUUUAUGUAUCUCUGGUGAAUUAUUUUUUAUUAGCACAUGGAAUUAUGCAAACAUAAAUAAUAAACAGAACAUCAUGAAGUCACAUCAAUGAAGGAUUCAUUCUUAAUGUAUGUUCUCAACCCUGCAUGGAGUGGUGGAAAGAGCAUCACAUAAAAAGACAUGAAAGAAGAAACACUGACAUUUAGUAAAGGUGAAUUAUUCUUCCAACUUAUCUCAGUAAAAAUCAAAUCUUGACUCCUUUAUGUUGCUUUACACCCUUUUCUCAGAACUACAGCGUUAAUGAAAGCCCUUUGCAACAUUAAGCAGUGAAACUUGCCUACCGUGUAUUCACACAAUCUGUAUAUGAAUAUAAUACCAUGCUUUCUCAGGUUUUCUAGUGUAAUAAAAUCAAUCGAUGUGUAUUCAAGCUAUAGAAAUAAA